Molecule: ribosomal RNA, 700 nt
Filed under: Vibrio vulnificus
Lineage: Bacteria; Pseudomonadati; Pseudomonadota; Gammaproteobacteria; Vibrionales; Vibrionaceae
Description: bacterial SSU rRNA
Rfam family: Bacterial small subunit ribosomal RNA
Source: RNAcentral
GCACCGGCUAACUCCGUGCCAGCAGCCGCGGUAAUACGGAGGGUGCGAGCGUUAAUCGGAAUUACUGGGCGUAAAGCGCAUGCAGGUGGUUUGUUAAGUCAGAUGUGAAAGCCCGGGGCUCAACCUCGGAAUUGCAUUUGAAACUGGCAGACUAGAGUACUGUAGAGGGGGGUAGAAUUUCAGGUGUAGCGGUGAAAUGCGUAGAGAUUUGAAGGAAUACCGGUGGCGAAGGCGGCCCCCUGGACAGAUACUGACACUCAGAUGCGAAAGCGUGGGGAGCAAACAGGAUUAGAUACCCUGGUAGUCCACGCCGUAAACGAUGUCUACUUGGAGGUUGUGGCCUUGAGCCGUGGCUUUCGGAGCUAACGCGUUAAGUAGACCGCCUGGGGAGUACGGUCGCAAGAUUAAAACUCAAAUGAAUUGACGGGGGCCCGCACAAGCGGUGGAGCAUGUGGUUUAAUUCGAUGCAACGCGAAGAACCUUACCUACUCUUGACAUCCAGAGAACUUUCCAGAGAUGGAUUGGUGCCUUCGGGAACUUUGAGACAGGUGCUGCAUGGCUGUCGUCAGCUCGUGUUGUGAAAUGUUGGGUUAAGUCCCGCAACGAGCGCAACCCUUAUCCUUGUUUGCCAGCGAGUAAUGUCGGGAACUCCAGGGAGACUGCCGGUGAUAAACCGGAGGAAGGUGGGGACGACGUCAAG